Cyprinus carpio carpio is the source of this 1686-nucleotide long non-coding RNA. Lineage: Eukaryota; Metazoa; Chordata; Actinopteri; Cypriniformes; Cyprinidae. The record is from Ensembl.
UGAUAAGCUGGCACCUAUCCGAGAGAUUUGGGAACACUGGGUAGAAAGAGUACCGUUCAUGUACCGUCCUGAUCUCAACAUCACUGUUGAUGAGUGCCUUGUCGGUUUCAGGGGCCGGUGCCCUUUCAAACAAUAUAUGCCAUCAAAACCUGCCAAAUAUGGAAUUAAAAUCUGGGCAGCCUGUGAUGCAAAGACCAGCUACUGUUUCAACAUGCAGGUGUACACUGGAAAACACAGCACGAGAAAAACCUGAGCAAGAGAAUAGUCCUCAAAAUGAUGAAUGACCUUCAAGGGCAUAUUGCCACAUGUGACAAUUUUUUUACGUCUUAUGCUCCUGGCACAGAGCUCCUGUAGAAAAGAAUAAGGAUGGUAGGAAAGGUUCGAAAGAACAAGCCAGAGCUGCCAAGUGCACUGACAAACCCAAGAGGCCGGGACAAAUUUUCAUCUCUGUUUGCCUACACACAGACACACACCAUCAUGUUCUACUGUCUGAAAAAUAAAAAUAAAAACGUCCUUCUCAUGAGCACUGUUCACAAAGAUCAGGAAGUGAGUGAACGAGAAGACAGGAAACCAGAGAUGAUAUUAUAUUACAACAGGAUCAAAAGUGGAGUGGACAGUUUUGACAAGAUUGUUGCGACCUACACCUGUGGAAGGAAAACGACUCGCUGGCCCAUGGCCGUAUUUUUUAACAUGAUUGAUGUCUCGGCCUACAAUGCUUUUGUCAUCUGGAGGGAAAUAAAUCUGACCUGGAGACAGGGGGAUAGCUACAGGAGGAGGCAUUUUCUGGAGGAGCUAGGAAGAGCGCUCGUGUCCCCUUUCAUAAAAACAAGGCAGCACAUUCCUCGCAGUGCAGGAAGUGCAGGAAUCUGAGGAAGCAGUUUCCUCCACGGCUGGUCACUCAGCCAAAAGAAAAAGAUGCCAAUGGUGCUUGCCGAGGGAUGUGAAAACAAGCAUCAUUUGCACAAAGUGCAAUCAUCCAAUUUGCAAGAGACACUCAGUUGUGAUCUGUGACGUGCAACAAACACUAAUUACACUUAGUAUGUAAAUAUGCAGAUAAUAUGUAAAUAUAGUUAGGAUGAUAUUUAAAACACUUAUUUUUUUUUUCUAUUUUCCAUUUACUGUUUUAUAAUUAUUAUAGUUUUGCUGUUAUUUUAGUUUUUUUGUUCAUAAUUGCUGUUCAAUUCAAUUCAAUUCAAGUAUAUUUGUGUAGCUCUUUUUACGAUACAAAUCAUUACAAAGCAACUUUAAAGAAAAUUAAGUUUCUACAAUAUUUAGUAGUAGCUUAUCAGUGGUGACUGUCAGUUCAUGUGCAUACGGCAGAAAUGUUCAGAAAAAUCAAUAAAAGACGUAAACAAACAGACGAUUUACACUAUUAACAGCAAUUAUGCAAUCAAACUUAUAGCAAAAUGUGUUAGUUCUGUAUGUUGUCUCUGGGUUAGCAUCAUCUGAGGUCCUCUGAGGGGUUGGCAUCAUCUCUUCUCAGGUGUUCUGGAUCCAGACUGGAGCUUGUGUAAAUCCUAGUUACCACGGGAUGUAAAUCCAGCAGAAACAGAGAAACAAAUAGAGACAUAAUUAGCAUAGCUGCUGUUCCAGCCAAGUAAAAUUAAUUAGUUUAACCCAAGCUAAAGAAUAAUAAUGCGCAUUUGAUCAGAUAUAACUGCAGUCCAAAAUUAUGAGAUGCAUUAU